AGAGUUUGAUCAUGGCUCAGAACGAACGCUGGCGGCGUGGAUAAGACAUGCAAGUCGAACGAGAUUUUUUCCUGUAGCAAUACAGGGAAAAGUCUAGUGGCGAACGGGUGCGUAACACGUGGGCAAUCUGCCUUAAAGUGGGGGAUAGCUCGGCGAAAGCCGAAUUAAUACCGCAUGUGAUCAGGGGAGGCAUCUUCCCGAAAUCAAAAGUGGCGCAAGCUACUGCUUUUUGAGGAGCCCGCGGCCUAUCAGCUAGUUGGCGAGGUAACGGCUCACCAAGGCUUUGACGGGUAGCUGGUCUGAGAGGACGACCAGUCACACUGGAACUGAGACACGGUCCAGACACCUACGGGUGGCAGCAGUCGAGAAUUUUUCUCAAUGGGGGAAACCCUGAAGGAGCGACGCCGCGUGGAGGAUGAAGGUCUUCGGGUUGUAAACUCCUGUCAUUUGGGAACAAGUGCCGGUACCUAACUGCUACCGGCUUGAUAGUACCAGAAGAGGAAGGGACGGCUAACUCUGUGCCAGCAGCCGCGGUA
This 536-nucleotide ribosomal RNA is filed under the name uncultured Verrucomicrobiota bacterium. RNAcentral describes it as "bacterial SSU rRNA". It matches the Rfam family "Bacterial small subunit ribosomal RNA", at positions 8 to 522 of the family's 1533-position model. Lineage: Bacteria; Pseudomonadati; Verrucomicrobiota. The record is from RNAcentral.